UACGUAGGGGGCGAGCGUUGUCCGGAUUUAUUGGGCGUAAAGAGCGUGUAGGCGGCCAGGUAGGUCUGCUGUGAAAACUCGAGGCUCAACCUCGAGACGUCGGCGGAAACCAUCUGGCUAGAGUCCGGAAGAGGAGAGUGGAAUUCCUGGUGUAGCGGUGAAAUGCGCAGAUAUCAGGAAGAACACCCGUGGCGAAGGCGGCUCUCUGGGACGGUACUGACGCUGAGAAGCGAAAGCGUGGGGAGCGAACAGG
This 253-nucleotide ribosomal RNA is filed under the name uncultured bacterium. RNAcentral's name for it is "partial 16S ribosomal RNA". It matches the Rfam family "Bacterial small subunit ribosomal RNA", at positions 524 to 776 of the family's 1533-position model. The record is from RNAcentral.